GACGAACGCUGGCGGCGUGCCUAAUACAUGCAAGUUGAGCGGUGAAGGUUGGUACUUGUACCAAUUGGAGGAGCGGCGGGCGGGUGGGUAACGAGUGGGUAAUCAUCCUUUUAUCGGGGGGGGACAAUUGGGGGAGAAUGCUGCUACCACAUAAAAACUCUAAACAGAAGAUGUAAGGGUGAAUGAUGCAUUUGCAUCCUGCAAAGAUGAUCCGACGUUGUAUUAGCUAGUGGGUGGGGUAAAGGCUCACCAAGGCGAUGGUAGGUAGCCGGACUGGGAGGAGGUUCGGCCAAACGGGAACGGGGAAAGGGUCCAGACUCCUAGGGGAGGCAGAAGAGGGGAAUAUUGGACAAGGGGGGCAAGCCUGAUGCAGCCAGACGGCGUGGGUGAAGAAGGCCUUCGGGUGGUAAAGCCCGUUUGUUGGGAAGGAAGAGCGGCAGGUUGGUACGCCGCUGUUGUGACGGUACCCAAAGAGUAAGCGCCGGCUAACUUCGUG
This 496-nucleotide ribosomal RNA is filed under the name uncultured bacterium. RNAcentral's name for it is "partial 16S ribosomal RNA". It matches the Rfam family "Bacterial small subunit ribosomal RNA", at positions 28 to 507 of the family's 1533-position model. The record is from RNAcentral.